RNAcentral lists this ribosomal RNA (251 nucleotides) under uncultured Bacteroides sp. RNAcentral's name for it is "partial 16S ribosomal RNA". It matches the Rfam family "Bacterial small subunit ribosomal RNA", at positions 88 to 339 of the family's 1533-position model. The record is from RNAcentral. Lineage: Bacteria; Pseudomonadati; Bacteroidota; Bacteroidia; Bacteroidales; Bacteroidaceae.
AUGGCGACCGGCGCACGGGUGAGUAACACGUAUCCAACCUUCCGUUUACUCAGGGAUAGCCUUUCGAAAGAAAGAUUAAUACCUGAUAGUAUGGUGAGAUUGCAUGAUAGCACCAUUAAAGAUUUAUUGGUAAACGAUGGGGAUGCGUUCCAUUAGGUAGUAGGCGGGGUAACGGCCCACCUAGCCGACGAUGGAUAGGGGUUCUGAGAGGAAGGUCCCCCACAUUGGAACUGAGACACGGUCCAAACUCC